GCCCCUGUGGUGUAGUCCGGCCAAUCAUCCAGCCUUUUCGAGGCUGGGACCUGGGUUCGAAUCAACGGGUUACGCUCGGUUGACACGCAACGUGGAACAUAAAGUUCCACGUGCUCACUAAUCGUUCGCAAUCAGUUACGAAAGUCCCGGCGGGGGCA
Molecule: transfer RNA, 158 nt
Filed under: Candidatus Woesearchaeota archaeon
Lineage: Archaea; Nanobdellati; Candidatus Woesearchaeota
Description: tRNA-Glu
Source: RNAcentral